This 116-nucleotide non-coding RNA is filed under the name Clostridium tetanomorphum. RNAcentral describes it as "THF-I sequence". It matches the Rfam family "THF (Tetrahydrofolate) riboswitch aptamer". From Rfam's summary of the family: THF riboswitch presents a pseudoknot that joins P1-P2 and the loop of P3 and two THF binding. Lineage: Bacteria; Bacillati; Bacillota; Clostridia; Eubacteriales; Clostridiaceae. The record is from Rfam by way of RNAcentral.
GUUAGAGUAGGUGGUUGCGCGUUAAGUGCUAGUGGACGGGAAGUUGCCACUAGACGAAAAAACUCUGUUUGUAAUAUAAAUACGGUUUUGCGAUGCAAUUACCGCAUUCCGCUAAC